This 497-nucleotide ribosomal RNA is filed under the name uncultured bacterium. RNAcentral's name for it is "partial 16S ribosomal RNA". It matches the Rfam family "Bacterial small subunit ribosomal RNA", at positions 28 to 507 of the family's 1533-position model. The record is from RNAcentral.
GAUGAACGCUGGCGGCGUGCCUAAUACAUGCAAGUCGAGCGAACAGACGAGGAGCUUGCUCCUCUGACGUUAGCGGCGGACGGGUGAGUAACACGUGGAUAACCUACCUAUAAGACUGGGAUAACUUCGGGAAACCGGAGCUAAUACCGGAUAAUAUAUUGAACCGCAUGGUUCAAUAGUGAAAGACGGUUUUGCUGUCACUUAUAGAUGGAUCUGCGCCGCAUUAGCUAGUUGGUAAGGUAACGGCUUACCAAGGCAACGAUGCGUAGCCGACCUGAGAGGGUGAUCGGCCACACUGGAACUGGGACACGGUCCAGACUCCUACGGGAGGCAGCAGUAGGGAAUCUUCCGCAAUGGGCGAAAGCUUGACGGAGCAACGCCGCGUGAGUGAUGAAGGUCUUCGGAUCGUAAAACUCUGUUAUUAGGGAAGAACAAAUGUGUAAGUAACUAUGCACGUCUUGACGGUACCUAAUCAGAAAGCCACGGCUAACUACGUG